GUUUUAAACAGAUUAAGGUAUACUAGUGUUUUAAAACUAGGCGAUUUCUGAUCUAGAUCAUCGAUUGAGAUGGGAAUUAGGUAGGAAAGAACUAGACAAUUUUUGGAGUUGCGAGCUGAGUUCAAGUGGACUCGGCCAAGUAACUCGGCUCCGGCCACAAGUUCAGUCCAGGGCCCCAGCCAAGUUUUAGAGUGCAUAUCAUUAUUGGUUACGGUGUAUUGUUGUGGGUUAAUUGCCUCUUGGUUCUCAACCAUCUGAACUUUGAAAAAACAACUAUUGUUCUCCACAGGAACAUAGAGAUUAUAUAGGUAUGGGAGUUCUGAACUGAACCCAUUAAAGGGACAUCUCAAUCAAGUGUUCUUGAAGGAACAGUUCUCAACUAAUGAAUCGGUUAUAAGUAGAUAUGUUUUACACCAUAGGGAUGUGAGUUCAAAUUAUAUGUAUUAGAGAUUGGACAAAGAUGAACUUAAUACAGAGAUGACAUGGUAAAAGAGUCUUCAUGACCUUAAGGGAAAUGCCUUGAUACCUUAAUAUUCUGUUUACUUGAUUGCCAAAUGAUAAACGGAGACUCUUCUUAGUUUGUGAUAUGCAUGUUUCUUGUCAUAUGAGGAAACAAAAAAUAGUCUAAUCAAUAUUUACCAUCUUAGGUUGUUCAAAAGUUAGUUCUGAUAAACAGCCCUUCUAACUUUAUGUGAGUGUAUCUUAGUUGUUGUCAUGGGCUUUAGCUUUGCCUGAGUUUAAAGGUGUUAGUGCCAUGGUUUUUUUUUAAUUUCAAACAAUUCCAUGCGUUUUAUCCAUUGAAAUGAGGGAUUAUUUCUAGAGUCAUUUGAGAAAGAAUAAUUUCUUUUCUAUGUGGUUCCGUUAGUUUGAAUAAGCCUGUUAGAAUAACAUACUUGUGACAAAUCUUUGAAACUUGCAAUUUGUUAAUCUUUUUUUGUUGGUUCUUUUUUUUUAGGUCUGGAAAAGGGAGAUUUUGGAAGUUUAUUUGUAUGACAAUGGAUUGUAACAUUGUGGAGGAAGAACAACUUGCGGAUCUCUCUUGGCGUCCUUCUGGUUUAGAACCCACCAUUAUGAAUGUUGUCGCAGUACUGAAUUUGGAUUGCAAGUUGGACCUUAAGGCCAUAGCAAUGCUUAGUACAAUUCCAAGCAUUUUGCAGCAUGUAUCAUGCGAAUACGAGAGCCAAAAACCACAUCAUUAACAUUCGUUUCUGGGAAAAUGGUGAGUUUGAUAUUCUAUUUCUUUCUUUUUAUUUAUGUGAAUCAGUGCUAAACGGGAGAUCGUGGCACCUUGCCACUUAUAAUACUGUACCCUAAGAUUUCUUGCUAUUUGUUUUGUUUUAACCAAUAUUUGUAAUUAUGAGAGGUGCUUCUGUUAUUCAAGAUGAA
Amborella trichopoda is the source of this 1386-nucleotide non-coding RNA. The record is from RefSeq and is a predicted model, not a curated record. Lineage: Eukaryota; Viridiplantae; Streptophyta; Magnoliopsida; Amborellales; Amborellaceae.